This 307-nucleotide ribosomal RNA is filed under the name uncultured eukaryote. RNAcentral's name for it is "partial 18S ribosomal RNA". It matches the Rfam family "Eukaryotic small subunit ribosomal RNA", at positions 1470 to 1796 of the family's 1831-position model. The record is from RNAcentral.
CCCUUAGACGUUCUGGGCCGCACGCGCGCUACACUGACGAAGGCAACGAGCUUUCCUUUACCGAAAGGUACGGGUAAUCUUUUGAAACUUCGUCGUGCUGGGGAUAGAUCCUUGCAAUUUUUGAUCUUAAACGAGGAAUGCCUAGUAAGCGCAAGUCAUCAACUUGCGUUGAUUACGUCCCUGCCCUUUGUACACACCGCCCGUCGCUACUACCGAUUGAAUGGUUUAGUGAGGCCUUCGGUUCCGCGACUCGUUUGUGGAGAAGUUGGACAAACUCAGUCAUUUAGAGGAAGUAAAAGUCGUAACA